GGGCGUGUAGCUCAGCGGUAGAGCGCGUCGUUCGCAACGACGAGGCCAGGGGUUCAAUCCCCUCUCGUCCA
Molecule: transfer RNA, 71 nt
Filed under: Candidatus Anstonella stagnisolia
Lineage: Archaea; Nanobdellati; Microcaldota; Candidatus Micrarchaeia; Candidatus Anstonellales; Candidatus Anstonellaceae
Description: tRNA-Ala(cgc)
Rfam family: tRNA
About the family: Transfer RNA (tRNA) molecules are approximately 80 nucleotides in length. Their secondary structure includes four short double-helical elements and three loops (D, anti-codon, and T loops).
Source: RNAcentral